RNAcentral lists this transfer RNA (73 nucleotides) under Haemonchus placei. It matches the Rfam family "tRNA". Rfam says of the family: Transfer RNA (tRNA) molecules are approximately 80 nucleotides in length. Their secondary structure includes four short double-helical elements and three loops (D, anti-codon, and T loops). Further hydrogen bonds mediate the characteristic L-shaped molecular structure. tRNAs have two regions of fundamental functional importance: the anti-codon, which is responsible for specific mRNA codon recognition, and the 3' end, to which the tRNAs corresponding amino acid is attached (by aminoacyl-tRNA synthetases). tRNAs cope with the degeneracy of the genetic code in two manners: having more than one tRNA (with a specific anti-codon) for a particular amino acid; and 'wobble' base-pairing, i.e. permitting non-standard base-pairing at the 3rd anti-codon position. The record is from Rfam by way of RNAcentral. Lineage: Eukaryota; Metazoa; Nematoda; Chromadorea; Rhabditida; Trichostrongylidae.
GUCUCGGUAGUGUAAGGGAUAAGAGCAAGGUCCCCAGAAAGCACAUGCACGGGUUCAAGUCCCGUCCGAGACU